RNAcentral lists this ribosomal RNA (522 nucleotides) under uncultured Glomeromycotina. RNAcentral's name for it is "SSU rRNA". It matches the Rfam family "Eukaryotic small subunit ribosomal RNA", at positions 569 to 1092 of the family's 1831-position model. The record is from RNAcentral. Lineage: Eukaryota; Fungi; Glomeromycota.
CGCAGCCGCGGUAAUUCCAGCUCCAAUAGCGUAUAUUAAAGUUGUUGCAGUUAAAAAGCUCGUAGUUGAAUUUCGGGGUUAGUAGGUUGGUCAUGCCUCUGGUAUGUACUGGUCUCACUGAUUCCUCCUUCCUGAUGAACCGUAAUGCCAUUAAUUUGGUGUUGCGGGGAAUUUGGACUGUUACUUUGAAAAAAUUAGAGUGUUUAAAGCAAGCUAACGCUUGAAUACAUUAGCAUGGAAUAAUGAAAUAGGACGUUCGAUCCUAUUUUGUUGGUUUCUAGGAUUGACGUAAUGAUUAAUAGGGAUAGUUGGGGGCAUUAGUAUUCAAUUGUCAGAGGUGAAAUUCUUGGAUUUAUUGAAGACUAACUACUGCGAAAGCAUUUGCCAAGGAUGUUUUCAUUAAUCAAGAACGAAAGUUAGGGGAUCGAAGACGAUCAGAUACCGUCGUAGUCUUAACCAUAAACUAUGCCGACUAGGGAUCGGAUGAUGUUAAUUUUUUAAUGACUCAUUCGGCGCCUUACG